Non-coding RNA from Mus musculus (house mouse), 371 nucleotides. NCBI's taxonomy places the organism in Eukaryota, Metazoa, Chordata, Mammalia, Rodentia, Muridae. The record is from the annotation of a RefSeq genome assembly.
AUGGAAUCACAGAACCAUGUCCUCAUGUUCUUGCUGCUUUGGGUAUCUGAUACCUGUGGGGACAUUGUGAUGACCCAGUCUCCAUCCUCCCUGGCUGUGACAGCAGGAGAGAAGGUCACUAUGAGCUGCAAGUCCAGUCAGAGUCUUUUGUGGAGUGUAAACCAAAAGAACUACUUGUCCUGGUACCAGCAGAAACAAAGGCAGCCUCCUAAACUGCUUAUCUAUGGGGCAUCCAUUAGAGAAUCUUGGGUCCCUGAUCGGUUCACAGGAAGUGGAUCUGGGACAGACUUCACUCUCACCAUUAGCAAUGUGCAUGCUGAAGACCUAGCAGUUUAUUACUGUCAACACAAUCAUGGCAGCUUUCUCCCCCC